AUUCCCUUUCACUGAUUCCAGUUGUUUUGUACACUGUGUUAGAAGUAUGUUUGUUUUAGCUUAUGGGCUACAGAAAAAUAUCUAGUAAUUUGACUAGUGCAGGUUGAUCAUUGAUCAAAUGUGUUCUACUGAAAUAUUAAGCCAUUCAAGUUGUGUGAUUCUCGCGAUCUACUUAUUAUAAAAGUUUAAGAUCAACAAAGUCAGGUUAUGUAGGAUACAACUAAAUGAAUAUCUGCAUACGGGUGUCAAUAGAGUAUAAAAUGCCUCUGUCCGAAGUGAGAAGAUGUGUAACCAUCAAAUUUACAUUAUUAUUGAUGUUAGCUACUGUAGCUUUAGCUCAAUCACCAGAUAAUAACUCAGUAAUUGGUCCAAAUAAAGCUAAUGGAGGUGCUGUCGCAAAGUUUCGUAAAUACUUUUCUCAGUGCAAAACACAUACAAUUGAAUUUGACGAAUGUAUAAAGAAUGCAAUCAAUAAUGUCAGACCAUACUUUACAACAGGUGUACCAGAACUUGGAAUUCCUCCGUUUGAUCCAUUCUUUGCAAAGGAGGUGAAACAAAGUAAAGGAGCUGGUUUAUUGGGUUAUAAGUUAACUUUAUAUAAUGUAACUGAAAGCGGAUGGAGACUUUCGGAAAUUAAAAAAAUCAAAACUAACUUCAAUACAAAUACAAUAAAACUUACACAUUAUUUCCCUGAGAAAUAUUUAGAAGGUUACUACGAGGCAGAGAAUACUAUACUACGGCCUGGAGUUACAACAGUUGGCCAAUUCAAUCUGACUUUAUACGAUUAUAUUCAAACAAUGACAAUAAGCAAACCAAAAAAUACAAAUCAAAUUAAAGUAACUGUACAACUUGAAGAAAUUGGAAAUAUGUCUCUGCAUAUUAGCAAUCUUUUGCGUGGAAGAGUUAUCGUUGAAAACGUUUUGGACAGAAUAAUAAACGCCUCGUGGAGAGUUGGUUUGCCAGUUGUAAAACCACUUAUAAACGACCUUGUUGCUUCAGCUUUUACUAAAAUUUGGAAUGAUAUUUUUAAUGAUUUUGAUUUUAGUUAUUUACUGCCAUAAAUUAUUUACAGGUCUAGACUUAGUUUCACCUUAAAAUAUGGCCAUUAUGACAGCCCAUAGUUUUAAAUAAAAAAUUAAUAAUGUUUCCGAGGACGUCGUACUUGUAUAUAUGUUUACGUUUUUUAACAUACGUCAUAACAAAUUUGCGUUCACAAAAAUUUCAAGUAAAUUUACUUUAAUAAAUAAGCUAACAGCAUAAAAAUAUAAAAUGGAUUCGGCUGAAAGCAAGUUUGCCAUGUUUAGGUUAGUAAGAUGGAGACCACACAUGCGGGUACGACGUCCUCUUAUUUAUAAUUAUUUUUAUCAUUAUUACAUAUUUUUAAAACAUAAUUAUUUUCAUCAAUCAUUAUUUCAUUUCG
Melanaphis sacchari is the source of this 1420-nucleotide RNA transcript. RefSeq lists it as uncharacterized. Lineage: Eukaryota; Metazoa; Arthropoda; Insecta; Hemiptera; Aphididae. The record is from RefSeq and is a predicted model, not a curated record. The transcript has 8 exons.